This 1435-nucleotide ribosomal RNA is filed under the name uncultured organism. Its description in RNAcentral is "16S ribosomal RNA". It matches the Rfam family "Bacterial small subunit ribosomal RNA". The record is from RNAcentral.
CAGGCUUAACACAUGCAAGUCGAGGGGCAUCAGGAAGAAAGCUUGCUUUCUUUGCUGGCGACCGGCGCACGGGUGAGUAACACGUAUCCAACCUGCCCUUUACUCGGGGAUAGCCUUUCGAAAGAAAGAUUAAUACCCGAUAGCAUAAUGAUUCCGCAUGGUUUCAUUAUUAAAGGAUUCCGGUAAAGGAUGGGGAUGCGUUCCAUUAGGUUGUUGGUGAGGUAACGGCCCACCAAGCCUUCGAUGGAUAGGGGUUCUGAGAGGAAGGUCCCCCACAUUGGAACUGAGACACGGUCCAAACUCCUACGGGAGGCAGCAGUGAGGAAUAUUGGUCAAUGGGCGCUAGCCUGAACCAGCCAAGUAGCGUGAAGGAUGAAGGCUCUAUGGGUCGUAAACUUCUUUUAUAUAAGAAUAAAGUGCAGUAUGUAUACUGUUUUGUAUGUAUUAUAUGAAUAAGGAUCGGCUAACUCCGUGCCAGCAGCCGCGGUAAUACGGAGGAUCCGAGCGUUAUCCGGAUUUAUUGGGUUUAAAGGGAGCGUAGGUGGACUGGUAAGUCAGUUGUGAAAGUUUGCGGCUCAACCGUAAAAUUGCAGUUGAUACUGUCAGUCUUGAGUACAGUAGAGGUGGGCGGAAUUCGUGGUGUAGCGGUGAAAUGCUUAGAUAUCACGAAGAACUCCGAUUGCGAAGGCAGCUCACUGGACUGCAACUGACACUGAUGCUCGAAAGUGUGGGUAUCAAACAGGAUUAGAUACCCUGGUAGUCCACACAGUAAACGAUGAAUACUCGCUGUUUGCGAUAUACAGUAAGCGGCCAAGCGAAAGCAUUAAGUGUUCCACCUGGGGAGUACGCCGGCAACGGUGAAACUCAAAGGAAUUGACGGGGGCCCGCACAAGCGGAGGAACAUGUGGUUUAAUUCGAUGAUACGCGAGGAACCUUACCCGGGCUUAAAUUGCAGUGGAAUGAUGUGGAAACAUGUCAGUGAGCAAUCACCGCUGUGAAGGUGCUGCAUGGUUGUCGUCAGCUCGUGCCGUGAGGUGUCGGCUUAAGUGCCAUAACGAGCGCAACCCUUAUCUUUAGUUACUAACAGGUUAUGCUGAGGACUCUAGAGAGACUGCCGUCGUAAGAUGUGAGGAAGGUGGGGAUGACGUCAAAUCAGCACGGCCCUUACGUCCGGGGCUACACACGUGUUACAAUGGGGGGUACAGAAGGCAGCUAGCGGGUGACCGUAUGCUAAUCCCAAAAUCCUCUCUCAGUUCGGAUCGAAGUCUGCAACCCGACUUCGUGAAGCUGGAUUCGCUAGUAAUCGCGCAUCAGCCACGGCGCGGUGAAUACGUUCCCGGGCCUUGUACACACCGCCCGUCAAGCCAUGGGAGCCGGGGGUACCUGAAGUACGUAACCGCAAGGAUCGUCCUAGGGUAAAACUGGUGACUGGGGC